GAUGAACGCUGGCGGCGUGCCUAAUACAUUCAAGUCGAGCGAACAGACGAGGAGCUUGCUCCUCUGACGUUAGCGGCGGACGGGUGAGUAACACGUGGAUAACCUACCUAUAAGACUGGGAUAACUUCGGGAAACCGGAGCUAAUACCGGAUAAUAUAUUGAACCGCAUGGUUCAAUAGUGAAAGACGGUUUUGCUGUCACUUAUAGAUGGAUCCGCGCCGCAUUAGCUAGUUGGUAAGGUAACGGCUUACCAAGGCAACGAUGCGUAGCCGACCUGAGAGGGUGAUCGGCCACACUGGAACUGAGACACGGUCCAGACUCCUACGGGAGGCAGCAGUAGGGAAUCUUCCGCAAUGGGCGAAAGCUUGACGGAGCAACGCCGCGUGAGUGAUGAAGGUCUUCGGAUCGUAAAACUCUGUUAUUAGGGAAGAACAAAUGUGUAAGUAACUAUGCACGUCUUGACGGUACCUAAUCAGAAAGCCACGGCUAACUACGUG
This 497-nucleotide ribosomal RNA is filed under the name uncultured bacterium. RNAcentral's name for it is "partial 16S ribosomal RNA". It matches the Rfam family "Bacterial small subunit ribosomal RNA", at positions 28 to 507 of the family's 1533-position model. The record is from RNAcentral.